CUAGCCGUAAACGAUGGAUACUAGGCGUUGUGAGUAUCGACCCUCACAGUGUCGUAGCUAACGCGUUAAGUAUCCCGCCUGGGGAGUACGCGCGCAAGCGUGAAACUCAAAGGAAUUGACGGGGGCCCGCACAAGCGGUGGAGUAUGUGGUUCAAUUCGAUGCAACGCGAAGAACCUUACCAGGACUUGACAUGUCGCGAAUCUCAGGGAAACUUGAGAGUGCCUUCGGGAGCGCGAACACAGGUGGUGC
This 250-nucleotide ribosomal RNA is filed under the name uncultured Chroococcidiopsis sp. RNAcentral's name for it is "partial 16S ribosomal RNA". It matches the Rfam family "Bacterial small subunit ribosomal RNA", at positions 796 to 1044 of the family's 1533-position model. The record is from RNAcentral. Lineage: Bacteria; Bacillati; Cyanobacteriota; Cyanophyceae; Chroococcidiopsidales; Chroococcidiopsidaceae.